Molecule: ribosomal RNA, 390 nt
Filed under: uncultured bacterium
Lineage: Bacteria
Description: bacterial SSU rRNA
Rfam family: Bacterial small subunit ribosomal RNA
Source: RNAcentral
UAACGCGAAGAACCUUACCAACUCUUGACAUCCCCCUGACCGGUACAGAGAUGUACCUUCCCCUUCGGGGGCAGGGGUGACAGGUGGUGCAUGGUUGUCGUCAGCUCGUGUCGUGAGAUGUUGGGUUAAGUCCCGCAACGAGCGCAACCCUUAUCCUUAGUUGCCAGCAUUCAGUUGGGCACUCUAAGGAGACUGCCGGUGACAAACCGGAGGAAGGUGGGGAUGACGUCAAAUCAUCAUGCCCCUUAUGAGUUGGGCUACACACGUGCUACAAUGGACGGUACAAAGGGCAGCGAAACCGCGAGGUGGAGCCAAUCCCAGAAAGCCGUUCUCAGUUCGGAUUGCAGGCUGCAACUCGCCUGCAUGAAGUCGGAAUCGCUAGUAAUCGCA